GGAAUUUUGGACAAUGGGCGAAAGCCUGAUCCAGCAAUGCCGCGUGCAGGAUGAAGGCCUUCGGGUUGUAAACUGCUUUUGUACGGAACGAAAAGUCUCGGGAUAAUACCCUGGGACCAUGACGGUACCGUAAGAAUAAGCACCGGCUAACUACGUGCCAGCAGCCGCGGUAAUACGUAGGGUGCAAGCGUUAAUCGGAAUUACUGGGCGUAAAGCGUGCGCAGGCGGUUAUAUAAGACAGAUGUGAGAUCCCCGGGCUCAACCUGGGAACUGCAUUUGUGACUGUAUAGCUAGAGUACGGUAGAGGGGAUGGAAUUCCGCGUGUAGCAGUGAAAUGCGUAGAUAUGCGGAGGAACACCGAUGGCGAAGGCAAUCCCCUGGACCUGUACUGACGCUCAUGCACGAAAGCGUGGGGAGCAAACAGGAUUAGAUACCCUAG
RNAcentral lists this ribosomal RNA (439 nucleotides) under uncultured Acidovorax sp. RNAcentral's name for it is "bacterial SSU rRNA". It matches the Rfam family "Bacterial small subunit ribosomal RNA", at positions 358 to 790 of the family's 1533-position model. The record is from RNAcentral. Lineage: Bacteria; Pseudomonadati; Pseudomonadota; Betaproteobacteria; Burkholderiales; Comamonadaceae.